UAAACGACGUGCGGCACAAGGUACUAGUAUCAGAUCAAUUGGGAGUAAGGGUCGAGGCCGUGGCCGAGGAUCGAGGGGAGGCAGGGUCAAAGGAAAGGGAGGUCUGGGUGACAAUUCCAAUCACACUAGUGAUCAUGACAGGGAGUGCCCCCCUCAAGUGAGAGGAUCUGGGAAAGAUAGAGUUUUGCUGGGAGAUAUAGAAGUUAUUGGUACGGGGGAUUUAACCCACCCUCGGGGUUGUGGCGGCUGGCCGAAAACAGCUGCAGGGGAUCAAUGUUAAACCUAUCUUGGAACUGUCAAGGAUUGGGGAAAACCUUGACGGUCCAAACUCUCAGGGAGCUAACUCACUCCCAUAGGUUUGAUUUUGUUUUUCUGUCGGAAACCCAUAAAGAUUGCUCCUAUGUUAAUCUGAUUCGCGAU
This is an RNA transcript of Fragaria vesca subsp. vesca, 420 nucleotides long. RefSeq lists it as uncharacterized. The transcript has 2 exons. The record is from RefSeq and is a predicted model, not a curated record. NCBI's taxonomy places the organism in Eukaryota, Viridiplantae, Streptophyta, Magnoliopsida, Rosales, Rosaceae.